RNAcentral lists this ribosomal RNA (254 nucleotides) under uncultured bacterium. RNAcentral describes it as "partial 16S ribosomal RNA". It matches the Rfam family "Bacterial small subunit ribosomal RNA", at positions 524 to 776 of the family's 1533-position model. The record is from RNAcentral.
UACGUAGGGUGCAAGCGUUGUCCGGAAUUAUUGGGCGUAAAGCGCUCGUAGGCGGUGUGUCGCGUCGGCCGUGAAAACCUGCAGCUUAACUGUGGGCUUGCGGUCGAUACGGGCAUCACUGGAGUUCGGCAGGGGAGACUGGAAUUCCUGGUGUAGCGGUGAAAUGCGCAGAUAUCAGGAGGAACACCGGUGGCGAAGGCGGGUCUCUGGGCCGAUACUGACGCUGAGGAGCGAAAGCGUGGGGAGCGAACAGG